GAUGAACGCUGGCGGCGUGCCUAAUACAUGCAAGUCGAGCGAACAGACGAGGAGCUUGCUCCUCUGACGUUAGCGGCGGACGGGUGAGUAACACGUGGAUAACCUACCUAUAAGACUGGGAUAACUUCGGGAAACCGGAGCUAAUACCGGAUAAUAUAUUGAACCGCAUGGUUCAAUAGUGAAAGACGGUUUUGCUGUCACUUAUAGAUGGAUCCGCGCCGCAUUAGCUAGUUGGUAAGGUAACGGCUUACCAAGGCAACGAUGCGUAGCCGACCUGAGAGGAUGAUCAGCCACACUGGAACUGAGACACGGUCCAGACUCCUACGGGAGGCAGCAGUGGGGAAUCUUCCGCAAUGGGCGAAAGCCUGACGGAGCAACGCCGCGUGAGUGAUGAAGGUCUUCGGAUCGGAAAACUCUGUUAUUAGGAAAGAACAAAUGUGUAAGUAACUAUGCACGUCUUGACGGUACCUAAUCAGAAAGCCACGGCUAACUACGUG
RNAcentral lists this ribosomal RNA (497 nucleotides) under uncultured bacterium. Its description in RNAcentral is "partial 16S ribosomal RNA". It matches the Rfam family "Bacterial small subunit ribosomal RNA", at positions 28 to 507 of the family's 1533-position model. The record is from RNAcentral.